Long non-coding RNA from Bactrocera dorsalis (oriental fruit fly), 1786 nucleotides. RefSeq lists it as uncharacterized. NCBI's taxonomy places the organism in Eukaryota, Metazoa, Arthropoda, Insecta, Diptera, Tephritidae. The transcript is spliced from 2 exons. The record is from RefSeq and is a predicted model, not a curated record.
UCUCGAGGGAGAAUAUAUUCAUUCUAAUUUUUAUUUAGUAUUUUUCUUGCUUAUAUACAAUUUCUAAAGCUAUCUUAACCUUAAAGCGGGCGCGCGUAGUUGAAUCGACAACGCUUAGUACAUUUACGUUUAUGUUACUAUUAUUACACAUUACAUUUUGAAUAAUUUUAAUUACUUUUUUUAGACUUUAAGGACAAUGAUAAUAUAUCUAAGUACAAAUAAAUAAAUAAUUACUGAAUAAUUAGUGCUUUAUUUCUUUUAUUCAUCUCAAACGUCUUUUCGGUUACGCGCGCCCGCUUCCGUUACAAAUGACCGCGCGCCCGCUUGAAGGUUAAAUAACUAAAUAUAUGUGUAUGUGUUAAUGUAUUGCAGCAUAUUUUUUAUUGCUGCUUGACAUGGGGUUGAUUUCAAGUGUACAAUUUAAUACAUGUGUGUGUGUGUGUUAUCUCUUCUGUAAAUUUAUGAUUUGUGUCCCAUGCAUUUUUAUUAUUAUUCGAUGCACAUUGCAUUUAAAUGCAUGUGGUUGUUUAUGUACAUACAUAUGUAUGUAUGUAUAUUAAUAUAUAAAUAGAUAUUUUUAUUUAGUAGAAUUUCGGCUUUGUUGAUAAGUAAGCAUGUUCAAUGAUAUUUGAACAUAAUAUAAAAAAAUAUGUAACGUUACUAGUGGCUGCAAAAAUUGCUUGCAUGGACGGAAAUCUGUACUCACAAAAGUAUUUAAUUUAGUAUUUAUGUUUAAUGUUAACAAGAGAUAUUAAAUGUAGUAAAGUGACAUACAUAUGUACCAAGGAUUUUUAAAAAAUAGCGGCCACGGUGGUCGCCCACUAAUUUUGUCGAAAUUAAGUGAAAAAGAAUACUAUUAUUUGUCAACACGUAAACAUAAACCACCAGGAGAGUCAGGAUCAAUAUCACCAGGAUGCGCCAUUUACACCAAAACUAAACAUCAAGUACAAACCUUUGGAUUCUUAUACCGACAAAAACGUUCUCGCCUUUAUUCGUAAAUAAAAUUAUCACUGUAUUGAACAGUUAAUUAAAUGAAUAAUGGUAUAAAACGUAUAUCACAACAACGCGUGACCGGAUCCACUAGUGUUAAUAUAUAUAUAGCGACCCUUUGGAGUUAAGUAUAGACAGAUGGAUAAUAAAUACAAUUUGCGCCGCGAUCUUUCUGUCAGAACAACUCACAUAACCCUAACACAUUGAUAUAUUCCAAUAUAUGAGGCGAUGUGAUCUCUCUUCGAAAAUAUGGAUCCAAGGGCCUUAAUACUGGGUUUGCAGACAGGUGUGCAGUAUAUCAACAGGUGCUCGGCAGUUUCCAGCUCCAUGUGCCUCAACCGGCUGGUAAGCUCGUUAGCCAGUUCAUUUGCGGCUCAGCUUCUUUGUAAAAUAUGCUUAAACCACAAACAAGGGGAGACCCCACAAUCUGCGCGAAUUACCGUGGGAUAAACCUCCUCAACAUCGCGUAUAAGGUUCUAUCGAGAGUAUUGUGUGAAAGAUUAAAGUCCACCGUCAACAAACUGAUUGAACCUUUCAGUGUGGUUUUAGACCUGGGGUCGAAUCCGUGCACGGAUUGGCAAACAUACGAAAGAAAAUUUCGUGUACGUCAAACGUAUACGGUGGCUGGCAUUAUGACAUACGAUAGCAAACACAUCGUAAUUGCUUUUAAUUCAUAAUAAUUUUUAAAAUCCACAAUGCUUUGGAUCGUAUUUUUAGAUCACAAUAGAUGUUGAACUGUCAAAACUGUUGUAAACUUUCACUAAACUAACAAAAGCUAAUUAAAUAUCAAAAUGGA